UUUUGAUGCCUGCUACUUUCUUCGUUUUGUCAUAUUAUGGAUCUGCAUCUUGUCCAGCCUGCCUGUGUGAUGACCCCUGUCUGCUACAACAAUGAGUAUCGGAACGUCCUUAAUGAAGUCACUUCACACUUGCAACCUGCCUCGGCUCCUACGUUACAGUACCAGAGAGAAAAAAUAAUUUAAUUUUAACCAUAACGCACGAUACCUGACAUUUCACUGUCCAGCUGACAGCAGCACCAAGAAAUUCUCCUUCGUCCUACAGACCAUGACUGGACUAACCCACUGAACGUUUACCCAUAGGGGGGGUGUUGGGGCCUCACCACUUGGAUGCAUCCACAGCCGUCCCUUGUGGGUCUCAGCAGAGAGAGCGUGUGAAGGCAGAAGGAGAUGAAUUGUGCUUUCAGACGAGCACCGGGGACAACUCCACCAUCUCACAGGUCUAAUUAGCAUACCCGGCCUGGCCAUUAGUUCAUUAUCAUAGUAUUAGCAUAGCCACAUCAUACGGUGUGGCUAAACACCAUGUUGCUCGGCUGCAGCGCAGAUUGGCUCUGACAGCACGCCAGCGGCCUGAAUUACGACCAGUUACUGAACGCCAACGAGUUCGAGUGAGGAAAGGACCUCCAUGAUACACUGCAUAAUGCUGCCACACAGUUCAGCAUCAGCUGCCUUCAGCUGACCUGAUGAAUGGUGGCACUUUAAGAAAGGAUAGAGGUUUUUGUGUGUGUAUCAUUACACAUUACUCAUUCCACACCAGGACCCCUGCUGCCAGAAUCCCCAUCUUCCCCAGCAGCAGAUCAUUGUAAUUUAUAUACAGAUGAUGUAUUUUUAUGAGUUAAAAACUUCUGUCAUUUCAUUUAUUUAUUUAUUUAUUUGCACUGAU
This is a long non-coding RNA of Pygocentrus nattereri (red-bellied piranha), 880 nucleotides long. RefSeq lists it as uncharacterized. The record is from RefSeq and is a predicted model, not a curated record. The transcript is spliced from 3 exons. NCBI's taxonomy places the organism in Eukaryota, Metazoa, Chordata, Actinopteri, Characiformes, Serrasalmidae.